This 252-nucleotide ribosomal RNA is filed under the name uncultured bacterium. RNAcentral describes it as "partial 16S ribosomal RNA". It matches the Rfam family "Bacterial small subunit ribosomal RNA", at positions 524 to 776 of the family's 1533-position model. The record is from RNAcentral.
UACGUAGGGUGCAAGCGUUGUCCGGAAUUAUUGGGCGUAAAGAGCUCGUAGGCGGUUUGUCGCGUCUGCUGUGAAAACCCGAGGCUCAACCUCGGGCCUGCAGUGGGUACGGGCAGACUAGAGUGUGGUAGGGGAGAUUGAAUUCCUGGUGUAGCGGUGGAAUGCGCAGAUAUCAGGAGGGACACCGAUGGCGAAGGCAGAUCUCUGGGCCGUAACUGACGCUGAGGAGCGAAAGUAUGGGGAGCGAACAGG